Molecule: ribosomal RNA, 126 nt
Filed under: Staphylococcus argenteus
Lineage: Bacteria; Bacillati; Bacillota; Bacilli; Caryophanales; Staphylococcaceae
Description: partial 16S ribosomal RNA
Rfam family: Bacterial small subunit ribosomal RNA
Source: RNAcentral
UUUAUGGAGAGUUUGAUCCUGGCUCAGGAUGAACGCUGGCGGCGUGCCUAAUACAUGCAAGUCGAGCGAACGGACGAGAAGCUUGCUUCUCUGAUGUUAGCGGCGGACGGGGGAGGAACACGUGGA